AUUGAACGCUGGCGGCAGGCCUAACACAUGCAAGUCGAGCGGAGCGGCGGACGGGUGAGUAAUGCCUAGGAAUCUGCCUGGUAGUGGGGGAUAACGUCCGGUAACGGGCGCUAAUACAGCAUACUCUUAGAUGAGCCUAGGUCGGAUUAGCGAGUUGGUGGGGUAAAGGCCUACCAAGGCGACGAUCCGUAACUGGUAUGAGCGGCUGAGCAGUCAAACUGGAACUUGGCCACGGUCCAUGCUCCUACGGGGUGCAGCAGUGGGGAAUGUUGGACAAUGUGCUAAAGCCUGAACCAACCAUGCCUCUUGUGUGAAGAAGGUCUUCGGAUUUUAAAGCACUUUCAGUUGGGAGGCGUUACCAGCAGAAUAAGCACCGGCUAACUUCGUGCCAGCCGCCGCGGUAAUUC
This 407-nucleotide ribosomal RNA is filed under the name uncultured bacterium. Its description in RNAcentral is "partial 16S ribosomal RNA". It matches the Rfam family "Bacterial small subunit ribosomal RNA", at positions 30 to 526 of the family's 1533-position model. The record is from RNAcentral.